This is a long non-coding RNA of Cyprinus carpio carpio, 1363 nucleotides long. The record is from Ensembl. Lineage: Eukaryota; Metazoa; Chordata; Actinopteri; Cypriniformes; Cyprinidae.
AAAGAGUUUGUGGAUUAGCGUUCCAUGCAAUAGCCAGAUCUUAAAAGACAGCUUUGUGAAUUGAAUAUAUAUGCGUUUAUGCUCAGUCUGGUGACUGACUCGUUGGGCUGCAAAACAAAAAGCGGUCUUUCUCAACCCAAGGAACCGCUGAUUUAUAAUAGAGAUCAUUAUAUAAUAUAGAUCAUUAGAUUAUUAUAUAUAUAUAUAUAUAUAUAUAUAUAUAUAUAUCAGUGAGUGGAAGUAACAAUUAGUUGACGGUCCCUUGAGCAGCUUGUAGGUGUUUUGCUCUGCUGUGAGUCGGAUCUGUCUGGUGCCGACAGUACAGAUGAGGUUACAUUAGACUCUGGUUUUACCCGUCUGAGCUGUAUUUCACCUUUUAAGCUCUAUGAUUUCAGAAGCAGCUGUUAUUGUUUCUGGAGCAUUACCCAUCCAAGUGCUCAUGGGUGUAAAAUGGAGACGGUCCGCUCGGAUGCCUUCAUCUGCAUUACACCAGUAAUGCUGGUUUUCUGACUGAUUGCAGAAGUAACCCAACUGUGAUUCAGAGCAGCAAGAGCGUAGUUUUGAUUUUGGCAUUGAUGGGAAGGAACAUGACAGCAGACAUUUCAAAAUUAUUGCUAGGGACAAUUUAGUAGCAGCUGGAUAUUGGUAGAGACGUACUAAACUCCACAUCAGUUAUUUUAGUGUCACUGAUACUUUUAUAGUUUUUGUUAAUAUUUUGAUUUUAUUUUCUGGUUUCACUUUAGUUUUUUAAAAUGUCUAUAUAGUUUCUAUUCAUUUUUAUUUAGUUAGUUUUGUUAUUUCAGUACUUAAAAUAAUACGUUUUUAUUUACAAAUGCGUUUUUUUAUAUUUUAUUAUUUAUAAAUAAAAUAUAAAAUACAUAUAUUAUUUUCAAUCAGUUAAUGCUUAUUUUGUUUAUUUAGCUUUUUUUUUAAGUUUUAGUUUUAGUAUACUAACCCUACAGAGGCCGAACAAAUGAAGUAUUUUAUAAUUUAUGUAAUUAUAAUUUUUUUUAAUAUGCCUUUUUUCCCCAUUUUAUCAGCUGUAUCACACAUUGCAUGGCUCUUAAGGAUUUAUUUGGAUCACUAAUGCUAUAUAUAGUGAAUAUAGAGAUGCUUGACCUGAGGUGGUGGAGAUGCUGGAUAAUAUAACAGAAGGGUUUGGCAGAGCAGACGUCCCACUGCACCCGCGACUGAUGCUUUCACAGCCCUCCUCCAACAUCUACUGUUAGAAGAUGUGUUAUUAUUACUCUGUUUUCAUCUUUCCUGUAGUGUUCAGUUUGGCUAAGAGACGGUUGGCAAGCUGUCUAGAAAUCAGUCAGUUUAUUUUAUUUUAUUUUAUUUUAUUUAUUCGUCCAUUUUUCCU